Long non-coding RNA from Alosa alosa (allis shad), 651 nucleotides. RefSeq lists it as uncharacterized. The transcript has 4 exons. The record is from RefSeq and is a predicted model, not a curated record. NCBI's taxonomy places the organism in Eukaryota, Metazoa, Chordata, Actinopteri, Clupeiformes, Clupeidae.
UGCAUUGUCCAUUCUCAGUAAUAGUAUUGAUAUUAGUUAAGUGUCUGUUGGUUUUAUUUGGGUUAUUUAGCGAUUAUGUUAACAUAUUUGAACACAAACACUUCUGUUUGUCUGCGGUUAAAACAUUUGGUAGCCUACAUGGUAAAUGAUGUCAGGAUGAAUUUUGGAAGUCCUUUGCUAGUUAAGUUAGUUGAUAUACUGCUGAUAGUCAAUUGUGGUUCUUGUGUUUAUAUAAUUAUGGAUUUUGUUUGUUUUAACAGGGUUGGCAAAAUGCUCAUCAAGGUCCAGUACCGUGGACUAAAAAAGUACCUCAAACUGCAGCCUGGUUUUUCUUAUGAAAGUUUCAUUGAAGAAGAAUUUGUGCCAGCAGGUUCUUCUACUCUAAAUUCUUCACUUUUCUGAAGAACAAGGGGCAUCAAUCUCCUGGUGCAGGAGAGAACACCUCUGCCAUAGGGGAUGCAGCAGAAAAGGCCAAAUGGAUGGUCCAGGAGGUUCUGGAGAAGAGUUCAGGGGGAGAGGAAACAAUGGAGGAGUAUAAGAGAUUGAGCACCUUGACACACUGCACAAGACGGCAUCAUAUCCUGGUCAGCCACAUUGUUGAAAUGCAUGGGAACUCUGGAUCUCAUUCAUAGUCAGCAUUGGGUCCUUGGU